RNAcentral lists this ribosomal RNA (497 nucleotides) under uncultured bacterium. Its description in RNAcentral is "partial 16S ribosomal RNA". It matches the Rfam family "Bacterial small subunit ribosomal RNA", at positions 28 to 507 of the family's 1533-position model. The record is from RNAcentral.
GAUGAACGCUGGCGGCGUGCCUAAUACAUGCAAGUCGAGCGAACAGACGAGGAGCUUGCUUCUCUGACGUUAGCGGCGGACGGGUGAGUAACACGUGGAUAACCUACCUAUAAGACUGGGAUAACUUCGGGAAACCGGAGCUAAUACCGGAUCAUAUAUUGAACCGCAUGGUUCAUUAGUGAAAGACGUAUUUGCUGUCCCUUAUAGAUGGAUCCGCGCCGCAUUAGCUAGUUGGUAAGGUAACGGCCUACCAAGGCAACGAUGCGUAGCCGACCUGAGAGGGUGAUCAGGCACACUGGAACUGAGACACGGUCCAGACUCCUACGGGAGGCAGCAGUAGGGAAUCUUCGGCAAUGGGCGAAAGCCUGACGGAGCAACGCCGCGUGAGUGAUGAAGGUCUUCGGAUCGUAAAGCUCUGUUAUUAGGGAGGAACAAAUGUGUAAGUAACUAUGCACGUCUUGACGGUACCUACAGAGAAAGCCACGGCUAACUACGUG